GCCCAGAUAGCUCAGUCAGAAGAGCAACAGACUUUUAUUCUGAGGGUCCAGGGUUUAAGUCCCUGUUCGGGCA
RNAcentral lists this transfer RNA (73 nucleotides) under Fukomys damarensis (Damara mole-rat). It matches the Rfam family "tRNA". Rfam says of the family: Transfer RNA (tRNA) molecules are approximately 80 nucleotides in length. Their secondary structure includes four short double-helical elements and three loops (D, anti-codon, and T loops). Lineage: Eukaryota; Metazoa; Chordata; Mammalia; Rodentia; Bathyergidae. The record is from Rfam by way of RNAcentral.